Lepisosteus oculatus (spotted gar) is the source of this 868-nucleotide non-coding RNA. The record is from the annotation of a RefSeq genome assembly. NCBI's taxonomy places the organism in Eukaryota, Metazoa, Chordata, Actinopteri, Semionotiformes, Lepisosteidae.
GUUUUAAAGCUGACAGUUCAACUCUUUCAGUCACACAGAGAGAAUGUCUUCAUUGGGGCUCCUCCUCUGCACACUGCUACUGCUUGCUCAAGAGUCCUGUAGUCAGAUUGUCAUGACUCAGUCUCCUACAGUGAGGUCUAAUCUCCAAGGAGAAAGAGUCACUCUGAGCUGCAAAUCUAGUCAGCAGGUUUAUCAUCUGAGCUGGUACCAUCAGAGGACUGGAGAGGCUCCUAGACUCCUGAUCCACACUAAAGACACUCGAGCCUCUGGGAUCCCAGACAGAUUCACUGGCAGCUACAGUGGAGGCAGCAGCAGUGGUUAUGGGACUGACUUCACUCUGACUAUCACUGGAGUCCAGGCUGAAGAUGCAGGAGAUUACUACUGUUUGCAGUAUGAUAGCUUGCCUCUCACACAGUGAUACAUGUCUGUACAAAAACCUCCCUCGGCUCUACAGGAGCUGCUCUGGCUCAUAAACAGGAACCACAGAGAACUGAGGCUGAGAACAGCUGCUGAGCCGCUACAGUUUGACUGUAAAUGUGCUGGAGUGCAAUCAUUACAUUCUUAUUUAAACAUAAUGCCAUACGACAUACAGUACUUUCUAUACAUAAAACGUUUCAGAAACACAUAGAACAGAUCAAAGGAAGAAUGAAUUGGAAAUUGUCCCUAAACUGCCAGCUAGAGAACAUUAUUUUUGGUGUGUUACAAUGAGCUUGAAAGAAAGAAUAGCAGUCAUUCAAUAUUAUAGCUGACAUGUUCUCUCUAAUUUUGGAAUCUGAAAUCAGGAUUCAAGUGAAAGAUGGAUUUGUGAAAUCUGGUAAUGGUAAAAAUGAUAUACACUAUGCCAGUGGUUCUCAAACUUUUUGGACCA